This is a non-coding RNA of Podarcis lilfordi (Lilford's wall lizard), 82 nucleotides long. Lineage: Eukaryota; Metazoa; Chordata; Lepidosauria; Squamata; Lacertidae. The record is from the annotation of a GenBank genome assembly.
GGCAGACAUGUGAGAUAGCUCAAUGGGCAGAGCAUGAGGCUCUUAAUCUCGGAGCUGUGAGUUCGAGCCCCGCGUUGGGCCA